GGGGAUGAUCGGUUUCGACGGUGUGAGUUGAAUCGAGAGAAGCGGGUCGAGAAUGCGCAGUCAUCUCGUAAACGUUCUGUGCAAACCAAUAAGUGCCAAUUCCAAGCGCACUGACUUCGCUCUCGCUGCCUGAUACAGCGACAGCAGUCUGUCAGCCCGGGUUCGCCUUCGCCCCGGUGUCUGGCAUCAGCUAGAGGGCCACUGCUUCAGCAGCACGUCGCGGGCUGCUGAGGGACUCUUACGUGACUGAGCCCGUUGGCCACUUGUGUGCAUGAUGGCCAGGGCUGAGAAAAUCACACGCACACUGCACCCGGAGAAGUCUUGAUGACACUGCACCGGACGGGGGUUCAAUUCCCCCCAUCUCCACUC
This 369-nucleotide transfer-messenger RNA is filed under the name Kocuria subflava. It matches the Rfam family "transfer-messenger RNA". From Rfam's summary of the family: Bacterial tmRNA, also known as 10Sa RNA or SsrA, is named for its dual tRNA and mRNA-like properties. The record is from RNAcentral. Lineage: Bacteria; Bacillati; Actinomycetota; Actinomycetes; Micrococcales; Micrococcaceae.